GAACUGCUCCAUGGAAAGAGGGAAAAAAGAGCAGUCAGGCCGGGUCUCGUUUGAUUUCUCUCGCUCCUGCUGCACUCGCUAGCCCCCCUGAAAACGCUUGGUAGCAAUACCGCUGCCUUUGCUGCCCACCCUCCGUUCCCUACCAGAAGAGCUCUGCCAGCUCCUCUCUGCACCUUUGUGUGCGUGUCCAGGGUGGCGGGGCUGGCAGCGCCGGGAUCAGGAAGUAUUGCUCGACCCCCGCAAUUAAUUCUGGGACGUGGCACCUGAGCAAUGAAGUGUGGCACUUGGCAUUGCUGGGAGCAGACCCCAGCUACCCAUUGCAUCGUAGGGCUGAGAGCCGCAGGUUGCAUGGAGGGGAACUAAUCCUGCACGACCCGCCAGCCUGCGCAGAGGGGAGGCAGCGCAGGUAUCCCUCAUUUCAGGUCCUCUCUUUUCCAAAGACCCAGCCUUUAUGUCAGGACUUCAGGUGAGGGACAAUUCAUCGUACCCCCGCCCGGGUACGUUGUUCCUGCGGUUAAUAACCCGGUGUGUAACAAGAAAAUAGGGGCACCGUAUUCCUCGAAUGAAUCUGUGCAGCUGCAUCUUGCAGUCCCUGCGUUCUCGGGAAGAUUUAAGAGCCUUUACCCAUUAGAAACGUUCUGUACAUAGAGGUGCUGUUGCCCACGCUCCGAUUGCUGUCAGCAUCGAGAUUAGGAAAAGGCGCUCAGCCCUACGCCUAUUGAGGCCAGGGGAAAAAGACCCCUCGACUUCGGGGAUAGCAAGUUUGGAGCAACCGGACUGGGGAACAGACUGCGCCGCACGGCUAGAGGCAACCUCUGCGUGGAGAUGACGGAAAAGAUAGCAGAAGCGAAUGAAAGCGAGGAGCCUGCGAAAGGCAAGGGGUCAGCUGGGGGAGCCAAGAGACCUUUUGCGGGACAACGUCCCGGGGUUGUUACCCGAGGCCUUACCACAGCUGUGUCUAACCAGUCUUCUCUGUCCCAGGCCGGCCACGCGUCCGCAGACAUCCCUGUAAACCAAGGCACAUGCACACUCAGCUCACCUGGGACUCGUUUCCACGUUCGUGACUGAUGUUUCUGGUGUUGUUUUAGCAUCGCUGCAAAGCAGCGUCCUGCAAGGUUUUGUGCCCACGGGCCUGUCUCAGCCACUUGUGCCCCAGCAGGGAGGGGUGCGGUGAGGUGUCUGCUUCUGCACACGCUGCCUUCCCCGCCUGAUGCCACGUCCCCCCCGGCGGUGCGGUGCUGCUUGGAUCCAGGCAGCUCUCGCUCCCGGCUGAGCCCCCGAUGCACACACGCCACCUGAUUUCCAUUGCAGGGGAGGGCCAGCUUGUGCAGAGCUCAUGCUGCGGCGAUCCCUGGUGCCGUACUGAAGCACACAGCCAUGGCCAGUGCUUAGGAGGACCCAGUGCACGCUCUCUUCCUUUUCUGGAGCAGGUUUGUCUCUGUUCUCAUGUGUUUUGGCGCUACCUCUGGGCCAUGCGUGUACACUGCCUAGUGCCUGGAAGCACGGGCCCCGCUGUGCUGUCCUAACAGCGAUGCGCACGUGGAGGAUGCCGUAUGCACGAGCUGGUUCUUCCACACCCACAGAUCAGGUACAACUUCAGAUUCGUCGUGCAGGCUGUUAGUGGGGACGUUUGUGCAGCGAACUGCCAGAGAGAAGGAAAGCCGUGGGGAACGUGUGACGAGCUUCCCUUUCAAACACGACUCCCUUUGCCAGAAAAAGUCUGUGCUGGACAAAUCCCCCACACGGGUAGCAUAACUAUCCUCUGGACUACUGUAUUUGGAGACGGUCUUUCACCAGCCAAAUGAUCGCUGAGAUGAAAGGAAUGAAAGAAGUGAUAGACAAUUGUAAAGACAUUAAGGGAAAUAAAUGAAACCCUAACAGAAAUGCAAAUUGCAUACGUUCAAGCGGUGUCUGUGCUUCCAGUGAUGCUGACAGUCCUCCAACAGCCACACUAAAAACUAAAGGAAAGGGUCAUUUGGGUUUAGAGACGAGCAGGAGUAAAGGGCCGUAACAUUAGCAUUUCAAUAGUAUUUUUCAUCUUUGUUUCUUGUUCUCCGCACUGACAACGUGCUCAGCACAAAGACGUGCUUUCGAAACAGGAGGCGAGGGCACUGUCCUGCUGAACUGCGACACGGCUGGAAAGGUACCUGGGACUCUGCCACUGCUCUGCUGGACGGCCUUGGGUGACACACUUCAUCUCGCAGGUCUCGUAGGCCCCGUCCAAUGUACUGUUCACCUGUGAAACCGCAUUGCUUCGCCCUUCCACGGUUUGGGAUUGUGAUUCUCAGCGGUGGAAUAGGACCGCCCUUUGAAUUUAGCUUCACAUUUGGUGGCUGAAAUGGCGACAUAACACCUGGGUUUCUUCUUUGCAUUGGGAACCAGGAUAACACCUUGGACCACCUCAUAUCCCCACUUACCUCCCUGUUUUGGCUGCCAAGGGAGCAUGCUUGGAGAGGAGAGAUGGGGAGAGGUCUAAGCAAGGCCUGGAUUAUGACCAAGUGGUUAGAGCACGGUGCUGGGAAAAGCCGAAGCAGGUUCAAGCUGUUUGUGGGUCGGCAGGACUUCAGACCCAUGUCUGCUGCUUCCCGGGCAAGGGGGCACACCAGUUAAUGUCCCUCUGUGCUGUCCUCAACUUUUGUGAACCUCUUGCACCGGCCAGUACCCCUCGUUGUCUGCUCGAAAACCGCACUGCUUCUUUCCAACGCCGUACAGUCGCCCAGCGGAGUCCACCCUGCUCCUGCAAGGCACGUCCACCUCCACUGCGCUACGCGCUGGCUGCAGGUCGGAGUAGCAGGAUGAGUGCCGUGUGAGCCUGCAGCUCUCUUUUCUUUCAUAGCAGCAACACGAGGCCAGGCAUGCUGUCCCCCACAGUUAUAAGCAGUGUGCCUAUAUAUAUCUCUGUCUCUGUCUCUGUAUACAUAUAAAGCUCUGUAUAUCUCUAUGUAGGCAUAUGCAUAGAGCUCUCUCUGUCUAUCACUAUAUAUCUCUAUCUCCAUUUCUA
Molecule: long non-coding RNA, 3001 nt
Organism: Alligator mississippiensis (American alligator)
Lineage: Eukaryota; Metazoa; Chordata; Crocodylia; Alligatoridae
Exons: 2
Source: RefSeq, a predicted model, not a curated record